Corticium candelabrum is the source of this 921-nucleotide RNA transcript. RefSeq lists it as uncharacterized. Lineage: Eukaryota; Metazoa; Porifera; Homoscleromorpha; Homosclerophorida; Plakinidae. The transcript is spliced from 2 exons. The record is from RefSeq and is a predicted model, not a curated record.
CUGCGUUUAGAUCGGUAGCACCGAGCAGCAAGAAAGCGCGGUCGCAAUCGGAAGUCAGAGAAAUCAAGAAGAGUGUAGACCUGUGGUCUAUGGAAGUCGUUCGAAACAAGCUGCAGCUAGCCGAAGUACGUUCGCUUUGCCGAAAGUGACGUCAGCCUACUACAUAUUACUGACUUAGUUCAGAGUCACUUCGAAGCUCAAGGUGUUGUUCCAUGCGAUGACCGAAUUAUCCUAGUGGACAACUGCGGCGAACCGUUCGCAGAUGACGACGAAACAAGAGACGUAGACUUUUGGAAGGCACCGUCUCGAAGAAUCUGUGCGGUACUCCAGUCGGACUAUGACUCACUGAAGUGCUACCUCGAUUCUAUACGAGAGACGGCACCGAUCAAAAGAAAACGAGCUUCAUCGGCCACCGCCUCGUCAACAGCGAUCGGUUACGGCCGGCUGCAGUCGUUGAGCUCGAGCACUCGUGCCUCAUCUCCGGAUAUGGAUAUCCUUUUCAAGAUCGACGGCGAAGUAGAAGACGCGCUAACUCAUCUCGGCCGCCUGGAGUCCAGCUUCGAACGAGUACACGAGCGACUCGAGAACAUCGAAGACAAGAUGGAGCAAGUGACUCGCCAUCGGUUGCCAUCGAAACGACGCACUAAAUCGAAAGUAACGACAAUAGCAGCAAGAAUGAUGCGUUGCAAGAUUUGCCACCUGUUCAGCAGAAGUCCGAUAGCAGUGUCUAUUUGCUGCCGACAAUGGCUCGGCUGCGAACGUUGCAUAGGCGAAGGAAGCCUCUGCUGAGUGGGGGGGCACAACGGUUUGUCAGGCCAUAGAAAUCCAAGAACACUGCUAACUCUAUGCCUUAGGGUUAGGGUUAGGGUUAGGGUUACCCUAACCCUAAGAUAACGGAGAGCAUUUUGUGGGGGCACGUGC